This 88-nucleotide microRNA precursor is filed under the name Mus caroli (Ryukyu mouse). Its description in RNAcentral is "microRNA 3078 (MGP_CAROLIEiJ_G0007383.1)". The record is from RNAcentral. Lineage: Eukaryota; Metazoa; Chordata; Mammalia; Rodentia; Muridae.
ACUGGCAGACUGCCCCAAAGCCUAGACUGUAGCUACCUUGUAUUGUGCUGGGGGUUGCUGGGGUAGGUCUUUGGGGGAAGCUGUUUGU